Molecule: non-coding RNA, 308 nt
Organism: Misgurnus anguillicaudatus (oriental weatherfish)
Lineage: Eukaryota; Metazoa; Chordata; Actinopteri; Cypriniformes; Cobitidae
Source: RefSeq, a predicted model, not a curated record
CUUAACUCGGAAGGAUCUGGAUCACAGGUCAUUUCAUCUGAGAUCAUUCCGCAUGUAACAGCUGGAAUCACUCACUGUUUCCCACAACGACACAAGUCAUCAGCCGUUUCCUCAAGGUCACGUCAGAGCGGUGAUGAUGUGGAAGAGGCAGACCAGAGGGCUGAAGAAAGUCUCCUAAAUGGCCCUGCAGAUGUUCUGACGGACUUUGGAGUGCCUUUUGGACUGUUUUAUGCCCUCUAUUUAGAGAAGACUUAAUUCUGUAUGUUCAGUCUGUAUGAUAAGUGAAUAAAGCUUUUGUUUUUAUGUGA